Long non-coding RNA from Saccostrea echinata, 296 nucleotides. RefSeq lists it as uncharacterized. The record is from RefSeq and is a predicted model, not a curated record. Lineage: Eukaryota; Metazoa; Mollusca; Bivalvia; Ostreida; Ostreidae. The transcript is spliced from 2 exons.
UAGCUGCAGAGUCAACUGAAGUCGAAACAGUAGGCAUACAACCUAGUGAGUCUUCGCAAGUGGGCUAGACUUGACGCAUGAAUGGCUUCGAUCAUCACACAUUCAGAUAAUAAUCUUAUCGCUCUGAAAAUAUGUUGAUGGAUGGUGUGAUUUGUCAUUAAGAGAAGAAAUGGCCAGUGAUAUUUAUAUCACCCACUACAUCCCCUUUUCGAGUUUUAGAGAGGACAUGUAAAUGAUCUGUAUCCUGAACAAACCGCAAAUCAUUUAAUAACAAAAUAAAGAUUAUUAUUUUUGAA